This is a long non-coding RNA of Temnothorax curvispinosus, 1853 nucleotides long. RefSeq lists it as uncharacterized. Lineage: Eukaryota; Metazoa; Arthropoda; Insecta; Hymenoptera; Formicidae. The record is from RefSeq and is a predicted model, not a curated record. The transcript is spliced from 3 exons.
CGGAGCGCGAAGCAAUUUGAUUCAAUAGUCAGGCAGUUGAAGCGCCUGGCCUUGCGAUCGGCUGACAUUCGAUGAAUGCAGGUGCAACUAAUUUCAACAAUGUGUCUUACAAAGGAACAUCCCGAACCCGAAAUCUUCGAUUUGGUUGAAUUUUUGGAAAUCUUCCAUUACUAGGAUCCCGGCCAUUCAGUUAAAAAGGUCGGUUUAAAGGAUAAAGAAAUUUCAUCUAAAAUCUAAAUCGAACAGUUAUUUAGGUUUGUUUCCUUAGUGUAUACUACAAUGCUGCAAAGAAAAACCCAGUAAGCUUUCGGCAAUGAUAAAUAUAUAACAAUGAACAAAAAAUUGACUUUCUAACGAUCUUCAAAAGAUUUAAUAUAACAAUAUAUACUAUGUGCCGAGACAAAUUGUGUGUAAGAACUUCUUUUGCUAUAUACAUAUAUUUUAGAUAAAGAAAAAGUAUAAGUUCCAUUAAUCAAACACGGAAGUCUUCUAAAAAAUGGAAAAGACAAUACCAUCCACCGUGACAGAACGUUCUCGGUUAGUCGUAAAUAAUCUAAAUGGUUAUAAUAGCUCAAUAGCUUUCGAAAGAACAAACGAGACGAAGAAGCUGGAUGUCCUCACCAAUAAAGGCAACCAGUAUGAUAAUUAUAUACGAACGAUGUUAUGUACAAUACAAUGUUAUAUAUAAUAUCGCGGCGUCGCAAGAGCCGUCUCGUAUCAGGAUUUUAUUAUAACUGCUUAACGUUUACGUCGAGUUAACAGGUCGCGAGCGCGCGGUAAAUAACAUCCAGAACGUUGCAUAAAUCAGCGAUAUCUACGAAAAGUCAGAAAAAGCGCGUGAUAGGUCGCGUAACAUUACGAACGAUUUGAGAUAAAGACCUACGACUUUAAUCAUAUCCAUACUAUGUACACGGAGCAAUUCUAAACCUAUAACCGAAGACAUUCGUGCAUGCUGUUUUUAGAAAUAAGAAAAAAAAUUGUACAUUUUUAGAUGAAUGGUUUAGGUGGCAGGUGCACAAAAGAAAUCAAAAGAGCCGCAUAUGUUCGGCAAAAAUCAAAGGAAAAAAGGAAAGGGGGCAGGUGUGCGUGCGUGCGUGCGUGAUCGUGCGAAAAGAGUCAAAUGCGUGAACGAGUUUGCGAAUGUUGCGCACCGUGUGAAUAUACCUAUCGAAAGAUGUCACUGCGUCUAUAUGCGCAUAUCCGUAAAUCGUAUGGAAAUAAAACUCUAAGGUCGAUUUCCCUUUCCACGAGGCGGUCUCCGGAGCGGUGGUCGUACUUGUUAUUCGAUUAUGUAAAACUUAUGCGAAGCAGAGGUUGAACGAAAGCGACGUAAAACGUCGAAUGUAUAUAGAAAACGGACGAGCGGCGAAGACGGACGGCGAGCCGUUACGUCGAGGCCGAUACACAGCAAACACAGCGCGAUAAAAUCGUGUCCCCCACAUUGAAUUUACGACAACUUGGAACUCACUCUCGAUCGUUCAAGAAAUUAAGCAGAAAGGUCAAUGAAGAGGGGCGGAUCAGUAGAUAUAUCGGCACAUCAAAAAUUACGGCGACAGGAAUCUUUCCUCGAGGAGUGCAUGUGCAUUUCGCAAGACGGCGGCGCCUCCGGAAAUGGAAUCCGCCGCUAGAGAGUGUACGCUAAGAGAGAGAGAGAGAGCCCUACUAAACUUAGCGCUCGAGUUUUGCAGUUACGUAAGGUCCAGUAACCCGACGGCGUAAAAUUAGGAUAGCUCUUCUUGCCUUCGUGUACAUCUAGGUAACAGUCGUCGUCGUCGUCGUCAUUGUACGAUGUGAUUUAUUCUCUCGUAAAAAAAUCCGUCAUAUUUGAAGACGGUGACCAAUAAAAACUUUCU